Molecule: ribosomal RNA, 455 nt
Filed under: uncultured bacterium
Lineage: Bacteria
Description: bacterial SSU rRNA
Rfam family: Bacterial small subunit ribosomal RNA
Source: RNAcentral
UACGGAAGGCAGCAGUGGGGAAUAUUGCACAAUGGGCGCAAGCCUGAUGCAGCCAUGCCGCGUGUAUGAAAAAGGCCUUCGGGUUGUAAAGUACUUUCAGUCGUGAGGAAGGUGUUAAGGUUAAUAACCUUAGCAAUUGACGUUAGCGACAGAAGAAGCACCGGCUAACUCCGUGCCAGCAGCCGCGGUAAUACGGAGGGUGCGAGCGUUAAUCGGAAUUACUGGGCGUAAAGGGCACGCAGGCGGUUAAUUAAGUUGGAUGUGAAAUCCCCGGGCUUAACCUGGGAAUGGCAUUCAAGACUGGUUAGCUAGAGUCUUGUAGAGGGGGUAGAAUUCCGAUGUGUAGCGGUGAAAUGCGUAGAGAUGUGGAGGAAAUACCGGUGGCGAAGGCGGCCCCUGGACAAAGACUGACGCUCAUGUGCGAAAGCGUGGGGAGCAAACAGGGAUUAGAUACC